This 467-nucleotide long non-coding RNA is filed under the name Ananas comosus (pineapple). RNAcentral's name for it is "long non-coding RNA (ACOM_LNC009332)". Lineage: Eukaryota; Viridiplantae; Streptophyta; Magnoliopsida; Poales; Bromeliaceae. The record is from RNAcentral.
AGAUGUAAUUAAUAUAGCUAAAUCUCUUAAUUCGGUUAUACUAUUUUUUACGGUGGUUAGAUACAAGGGGUUAAAAGGAUUAAGUGUACUGCUAGAACUAGAGUAGUUUUAAGAUGAGUGACCCCUCCUAUGAGAGUAAAUCAUCAGCCGAAGUGUGAAAUGAGUCUCAGCUGAACUAGAAUCAUACAGUAAACAGAGCGCGGUUCCUCGACUGACGAUCGUUGUGGUUGGGUGGAUCGUAACUUCCCACAAGAUCAGAUAAGGCUAACGAGACGAGUGUUACAUUGCCUGAUGUUUGUGAGUGUGCUUGAGCCGGACGAGAACGUUAAAGCUUAAAGGGGAGAGGAAUGCUAGCUAAACUUUUUAACUCGAUUAUAUAGUUUUAGGCGAUGGUUAGACUUCAAAAAAAAUUAAGAAAAUUAAGCAUAUUAGCACCGAAAUAAUUAAUUUUAUAAUAGAUGAUCUCC